CAGUCGCCACGGUAAUACGUAGGUGGCAAGCGUUGUCCGGAAUUAUUGGGCGUAAAGGGCUCGCAGGCGGUUUCUUAAGUCUGAUGUGAAAGCCCCCGGCUCAACCGGGGAGGGUCAUUGGAAACUGGGAAACUUGAGUGCAGAAGAGGAGAGUGGAAUUCCACGUGUAGCGGUGAAAUGCGUAGAGAUGUGGAGGAACACCGGUGGCGGAGGCGACUCUCUGGUCUGUAACUGACGCUGAGGAGCGAAAGCGUGGGGAGCGAACAGGAUUAGAUACCCCUGUAGUCCCUGUCUCUUAUAC
Molecule: ribosomal RNA, 301 nt
Filed under: uncultured bacterium
Lineage: Bacteria
Description: partial 16S ribosomal RNA
Rfam family: Bacterial small subunit ribosomal RNA
Source: RNAcentral